Molecule: ribosomal RNA, 420 nt
Filed under: Arthrobacter sp.
Lineage: Bacteria; Bacillati; Actinomycetota; Actinomycetes; Micrococcales; Micrococcaceae
Description: bacterial SSU rRNA
Rfam family: Bacterial small subunit ribosomal RNA
Source: RNAcentral
GGAUGAACGCUGGCGGCGUGCUUAACACAUGCAAGUCGAACGAUGACCCGGUGCUUGCACCGGUGAUUAGUGGCGAACGGGUGAGUAACACGUGAGUAACCUGCCCUUAACUCUGGGAUAAGCCUGGGAAACUGGGUCUAAUACCGGAUAUGACUCCUCAUCGCAUGGUGGGGGGUGGAAAGCUUUAUUGUGGUUUUGGAUGGACUCGCGGCCUAUCAGCUUGUUGGUGAGGUAAUGGCUCACCAAGGCGACGACGGGUAGCCGGCCUGAGAGGGUGACCGGCCACACUGGGACUGAGACACGGCCCAGACUCCUACGGGAGGCAGCAGUGGGGAAUAUUGCACAAUGGGCGCAAGCCUGAUGCAGCGACGCCGCGUGAGGGAUGACGGCCUUCGGGUUGUAAACCUCUUUCAGUAGGGA